This 1225-nucleotide ribosomal RNA is filed under the name Pseudarthrobacter polychromogenes. RNAcentral's name for it is "bacterial SSU rRNA". It matches the Rfam family "Bacterial small subunit ribosomal RNA", at positions 107 to 1339 of the family's 1533-position model. Lineage: Bacteria; Bacillati; Actinomycetota; Actinomycetes; Micrococcales; Micrococcaceae. The record is from RNAcentral.
UGAGUAACACGUGAGUAACCUGCCCUUGACUCUGGGAUAAGCCUGGGAAACCGGGUCUAAUACCGGAUAUGACCUGUCACCGCAUGGUGGUGGGUGGAAAGCUUUUUUGUGGUUUUGGAUGGACUCGCGGCCUAUCAGCUUGUUGGUGAGGUAAUGGCUUACCAAGGCGACGACGGGUAGCCGGCCUGAGAGGGUGACCGGCCACACUGGGACUGAGACACGGCCCAGACUCCUACGGGAGGCAGCAGUGGGGAAUAUUGCACAAUGGGCGCAAGCCUGAUGCAGCGACGCCGCGUGAGGGAUGAAGGCCUUCGGGUUGUAAACCUCUUUCAGUAGGGAAGAAGCGAAAGUGACGGUACCUGCAGAAGAAGCGCCGGCUAACUACGUGCCAGCAGCCGCGGUAAUACGUAGGGCGCAAGCGUUAUCCGGAAUUAUUGGGCGUAAAGAGCUCGUAGGCGGUUUGUCGCGUCUGCCGUGAAAGUCCGGGGCUCAACUCCGGAUCUGCGGUGGGUACGGGCAGACUAGAGUGAUGUAGGGGAGACUGGAAUUCCUGGUGUAGCGGUGAAAUGCGCAGAUAUCAGGAGGAACACCGAUGGCGAAGGCAGGUCUCUGGGCAUUAACUGACGCUGAGGAGCGAAAGCAUGGGGAGCGAACAGGAUUAGAUACCCUGGUAGUCCAUGCCGUAAACGUUGGGCACUAGGUGUGGGGGACAUUCCACGUUUUCCGCGCCGUAGCUAACGCAUUAAGUGCCCCGCCUGGGGAGUACGGCCGCAAGGCUAAAACUCAAAGGAAUUGACGGGGGCCCGCACAAGCGGCGGAGCAUGCGGAUUAAUUCGAUGCAACGCGAAGAACCUUACCAAGGCUUGACAUGAACCGGAAACGCCUGGAAGACAGGUGCCCCCGCUUGCGGCCGGUUUACAGGGGGGUGCAUGGGUUGUCGUCAGCUCCGGGCGUGAGAUGUUGGGUUAAGUGCCGCAACGAGCGCAACCCUCGUUCUAUGUUGCCAGCGCGUGAUGGCGGGGACUCAUAGGAGACUGCCGGGGUCAACUCGGAGGAAGGUGGGGACGACGUCAAAUCAUCAUGCCCCUUAUGUCUUGGGCUUCACGCAUGCUACAAUGGCCGGUACAAAGGGUUGCGAUACUGUGAGGUGGAGCUAAUCCCAAAAAGCCGGUCUCAGUUCGGAUUGGGGUCUGCAACUCGACCCCAUGAAGUCGGAGUCGCUAGU